Molecule: ribosomal RNA, 440 nt
Filed under: uncultured bacterium
Lineage: Bacteria
Description: partial 16S ribosomal RNA
Rfam family: Bacterial small subunit ribosomal RNA
Source: RNAcentral
CCUACGGGAGACUGCAGUGGGGGAUAUUGCACAAUGGGGGAAACCCUGAUGCAGCGACGCCGCGUGUGGGAAGACGGUCCUCUGGAUUGUAACCCACUGUCCCCAGGGACGAAGAUGACGGUACCUGGGGAGGAAGCUCCGGCUAACCACGUGCCAGCAGCCGCGGUAAUACGUAGGGUGCGAGCGGUGUCCGGAACUACUGGGGGAAAAGGGAGCGUAGGCGGGACUGCAAGUUGGGUGUAAAAUCCACCGGCCCAACCGGUAGCCGCACUCAAAACUGCAGUUCUUGAGUGAAGUAGAGGCAGGCGGAAUUCCUAGUGUAGCGGUGAAAUGCGUAGAUAUUAGGAGGAACACCAGUGGCGAAGGCGGCCUGCUGGGCUUUUACUGACGCUGAGGCUCGAAAGUGUGGGGAGCAAACAGGAUUAGAUACCCUGGUAGUC